This 243-nucleotide ribosomal RNA is filed under the name uncultured bacterium. RNAcentral's name for it is "partial 16S ribosomal RNA". It matches the Rfam family "Bacterial small subunit ribosomal RNA", at positions 335 to 596 of the family's 1533-position model. The record is from RNAcentral.
GACCUACGGGGCGCAGCAGUGGGGGAUAUUGCACAAUGGGGGGAACCAUGAUGCAGCGACGCCGCGUGGGUGAAGAAGUCAUUCGUGACGUAAAGCCCUAUCAGCAGGGAAGAAAAUGACGGUACCUGACUAAGAAGCCCCGGCUAACUACGUGCCAGAAGCAGCGGUGGUACGUAGGGGGCAAGCGUUAUCCGGAUUUACUGGGUGUAAAGGGAGCGUAGACGGCGGCGCAAGUCCGGAGGG